Molecule: ribosomal RNA, 253 nt
Filed under: uncultured bacterium
Lineage: Bacteria
Description: partial 16S ribosomal RNA
Rfam family: Bacterial small subunit ribosomal RNA
Source: RNAcentral
UACAGAGGGGGCAAGCGUUGUUCGGAAUUACUGGGCGUAAAGGGCGCGUAGGCGGCCUUCUAAGUCGAACGUGAAAUCCCUGGGCUCAACCCAGGAACUGCGUCCGAUACUGGAAGGCUUGAAUCCGGGAGAGGGAUGCGGAAUUCCAGGUGUAGCGGUGAAAUGCGUAGAUAUCUGGAGGAACACCGGUGGCGAAGGCGGCAUCCUGGACCGGUAUUGACGCUGAGGCGUGAAAGCCAGGGGAGCAAACGGG